UACGGAGGUGGCAAGCGUUGCUCGGAAUCACUGGGCGUAAAGGGCGCGUAGGCGGGGGGGUAAGUCGGAUGUGAAAUCCCUCGGCUUAACCAAGGAAGUGCAUCCGAAACUGCAGUGCUUGAGUACUUAAGAGGAUCGCGGAAUUCCCGGUGUAGAGGUGAAAUUCGUAGAUAUCGGGAGGAACACCAGUGGCGAAGGCGGCGAUCUGGGAAGAUACUGACGCUGAGGUGCGAAAGCGUGGGGAGCAAACAGG
Molecule: ribosomal RNA, 253 nt
Filed under: uncultured bacterium
Lineage: Bacteria
Description: partial 16S ribosomal RNA
Rfam family: Bacterial small subunit ribosomal RNA
Source: RNAcentral